This 525-nucleotide ribosomal RNA is filed under the name Triticum aestivum (bread wheat). RNAcentral's name for it is "partial small subunit ribosomal RNA". Lineage: Eukaryota; Viridiplantae; Streptophyta; Magnoliopsida; Poales; Poaceae. The record is from RNAcentral.
AUGGUGGCUGUGAGGCCAGACGGCGGGAGACGUAGCCGACGAGCCCGACGACAGCAACCUCGAUGGCGAGCUCGACGGCGGCAGAGACGUCUUCUGUACUGCGAGCUCCACCAUCCCUGCACAUACUGUACUGCGAGCUCGACGACGGCGGUGGCAUCUUGUUGGCAGGGACCAGGGCCAGGAAUUAAAAAGCAAACAAAAGCAGGGGCCAGGAGUACAUCUCAACUUUUACUAUAUUUCUUGUUGACAACUAGUGCAGAAAUUGGAGCACCACGAGCAAGCAGGCAGAGGAGCAGAUUUACAGAGGGGUGCUUCUUCUCACCAGCAGCAACACGAGCAGGGGAGCUACGGGCGGAGGAGCAGCAACUUGCACAGGAGCAGGCCCGCUGGGAGCUUGAGGACGAGCUUCAGGUCGAGGCCCGCCGGGAGCUCCAGCUCCAGGCGCUCGAGACGCAGGCGCGCGCAGGUCCUGGACGGCGGGAAGGGAUAGCGGCGGCGCAUGCCCUGGGCGGCGGGAGGGGAUAG